GACGAGGUGGCCGACAGGCUAAGGCGAUGGACUGCUAAUCCCCUGUGCUGUGCACGCGUGGGUUAGAAUCCCACCCUCGUCG
Molecule: transfer RNA, 82 nt
Filed under: Taeniopygia guttata (zebra finch)
Lineage: Eukaryota; Metazoa; Chordata; Aves; Passeriformes; Estrildidae
Description: tRNA-Ser (GCT) (tRNA-Ser-GCT-3-1)
Rfam family: tRNA
About the family: Transfer RNA (tRNA) molecules are approximately 80 nucleotides in length. Their secondary structure includes four short double-helical elements and three loops (D, anti-codon, and T loops).
Source: RNAcentral